GACGAACGCUGGCGGCGUGCUUAACACAUGCAAGUCGAACGGAAAGGCCCUGCUUGCAGGGUACUCGAGUGGCGAACGGGUGAGUAACACGUGGGUGAUCUGCCCUGCACUUCGGGAUAAGCCUGGGAAACUGGGUCUAAUACCGGAUAGGAGCCAUUUUUAGUGUGAUGGUUGGAAAGUUUUUUCGGUGUAGGAUUAGCUCGCGGACUAUCAGCUUGUUGUUGGGGUGAUGGCCUACAAAGGCGGCGACGGGUAGCCGGCCUGAGAGGGUGGACGGCCACAUUGGGACUGAGAUGCGCGCCAGACCCCUACGGGAGGCAGCAGUGAGGAAUAUUGCACAAUGGGCGCAAGCCUGAGGCAGCGACGCCGCGUGGGGGAUGACGGCCUUCGGGUUGUAAACUCCUUUCGCUAGGGACGAAGCUUUUUGUGACGGUACCUAGAUAAGAAGCACCGGCUAACUACGUG
RNAcentral lists this ribosomal RNA (465 nucleotides) under uncultured bacterium. RNAcentral's name for it is "partial 16S ribosomal RNA". It matches the Rfam family "Bacterial small subunit ribosomal RNA", at positions 28 to 507 of the family's 1533-position model. The record is from RNAcentral.